AUUGAACGCUGGCGGCAUGCCUAACACAUGCAAGUCGAACGGUAACAGGCCCUUCGGGGUGCUGACGAGUGGCGGAUGGGUGAGUAAUACUUAGGAAUCUACCCUGUAGUGGGGGACGAACCCGGGAAACGUCGGGCUAAUACCGCAUACGCUCUACGGAGGAAAGCGGGGCCGGCAAGGCCUCGCGCUAUUGGAGUGAGCCUAACGCCCGAUUAGCUAGUUGGGUGGGGUAAUAGCCUACCAAGGCAAUGAUCGGUAGCUGUCUGAGAGGACGACCAGCCACACUGGGACUGAGA
Molecule: ribosomal RNA, 296 nt
Filed under: uncultured bacterium
Lineage: Bacteria
Description: partial 16S ribosomal RNA
Rfam family: Bacterial small subunit ribosomal RNA
Source: RNAcentral